GACGAACGCUGGCGGCGUGCUUAACACAUGCAAGUCGAACGGAAAGGCCCUGCUUUUGUGGGGUGCUCGAGUGGCGAACGGGUGAGUAACGCGUGAGUAACCUGCCCUUGACUUUGGGAUAACUUCAGGAAACUGGGGCUAAUACCGGAUAGGAGCUCCUGCUGCAUGGUGGGGGUUGGAAAGUUUCGGCGGUUGGGGAUGGACUCGCGGCUUAUCAGCUUGUUGGUGGGGUAGUGGCUUACCAAGGCUUUGACGGGUAGCCGGCCUGAGAGGGUGACCGGCCACAUUGGGACUGAGAUACGGCCCAGACUCCUACGGGAGGCAGCAGUGGGGAAUAUUGCACAAUGGGCGGAAGCCUGAUGCAGCGACGCCGCGUGCGGGAUGACGGCCUUCGGGUUGUAAACCGCUUUCGCCUGUGACGAAGCGUGAGUGACGGUAAUGGGUAAAGAAGCACCGGCUAACUACGUG
This 468-nucleotide ribosomal RNA is filed under the name uncultured bacterium. RNAcentral's name for it is "partial 16S ribosomal RNA". It matches the Rfam family "Bacterial small subunit ribosomal RNA", at positions 28 to 507 of the family's 1533-position model. The record is from RNAcentral.